CAACACGGCUUGUGUGUCCUGGUCUGCCAGCCGGGGGGCUGAACAGUACUCAGUGACGGCCCACAGUAGUCAUGGCAACUUCAGCUGCCACACCUCUGACCACAGCUGUAGCCUCGACAACAUCAAGUGUGGCAACCGCUACACCGUUCAGGUGGUGGCGAUGAAUGGCAACUGCUCUAGUAUCCCCAGCCAGGCUCUGAUACUCAACUCAGCUCCCUGCCCGCCUCAGAACGUGAGUUCAGAGGUCAGCUGUUGGUCAAACGACAUGACGAUUUCUUGGGAUGCCGUCAGAGAAGCAGACCACUUUUUGGUGUCAGUAAUGUCAGACGAUGGAGGAACCAGCGAGUCCUGUAACACCACAAACACUGCAUGUUCCAUCAGCAACGUGACCUGUGGAAAUACAUUCAGAGUUCAAGUCGCCUCCGUCAGAGGGGCCUGCUGCAGCCAGCACAGUCAGGCCCACAGCAUCCUGUCAGCUCCCUGUCAGCCUCAGGGAAUCAGAGGCAACCUCGACUGUGUGACCAAUUCUGCCUGGAUAUCAUGGGAUGCUG
Molecule: long non-coding RNA, 551 nt
Filed under: Cyclopterus lumpus (lumpfish)
Lineage: Eukaryota; Metazoa; Chordata; Actinopteri; Perciformes; Cyclopteridae
Description: lncRNA (ENSCLMG00005006392.1)
Source: RNAcentral